Molecule: long non-coding RNA, 1760 nt
Filed under: Marmota monax (woodchuck)
Lineage: Eukaryota; Metazoa; Chordata; Mammalia; Rodentia; Sciuridae
Source: RNAcentral
ACCGCCGUUAACACGCACGUGGAGGUUUGUUAAAGGUAUAGGUACUGCAGUAGCUCAGGUGGGGAUCGGGGGAGGAGCCCCUGGGGGCUUAAGGAGAGUGGCCAGUAAUAAGUGGGAGCCCCAUCGUAGGUAACUGGAAGCCAGUUUUGGGCAGGAAGUACCACCUAGGAGGGGAGGUUGGUGGACUGGGAAAGAAAAAAAUGGAAAAUGGAAUUAGGGAUCUGACUCCGAGGCAAGGUGAAUUGGGACACACAGAGAAAGGGGCAGUCUGAUUGGAGGAAAAUUGUGACUUGAGAGUGGGAGAGGUUGAAAUAACUUUUAUGGAUCAUACACUUGCUAUGCAGUGGGGAUGGGGGCUAGAACUCUGAGGUCUGGGGAGGUGCACUGGGGUCUGGAAGAGACUGGGAUGAGAAGGGAGACCACUUAAUGGGAAAGAAAAAGAGGGAAAUUUGGGGUCAAACCAUCCAAGAUCAGACCCCUCUACCUCUUCCAGCUCUGAUCUCCCUUCCUCCUGCCUCAUAUCUCAAUUCUGCUGUCUUUUUUCCAUGAUACCAUAAACAAUGAUACCCUGUCCAAUUGCACCAAAGUUUAUACUAGCCAGUGUUCUGUUAGAUGAGAGGUUGUCACUUUCCCACCUCUCCCAGGCCUCUCCCAUCUUGGCUGUUUCCCGUUUUUCACAUUUUGCCUUUCCUAGGUAGUAAGGAUAGUCCUUAGGUCAAUGCCAGCAAUAUCCAAGGAUAUAGGGGAGCAGGUGACUGUACAAAGCCACUUCCAGGCUUUGUACAUAAGACUGAGAAAUGGGAAACCUGCCAAUGCUCAUCCCAGCUUUACCUGCCUGGGGCAGCGUGGGGUUGAGGCCACCAUCAUCUGGAAGGUUGCUGCAAGAGCCAUCUAGGCAGGCCCCUAGGACUGUGCCAGGUAAGAGGGACUCCCGGUCUGCCUGGGUGUCUGCACUGGAUACCUGUCAACCUUUAUAUAUAUAUUCAUGGCUUGAGCCAUAUAGAAUCUGGAAGACACAUUUUCUGCAAAGAAAUUAGACCGUCUCAAGAUUUGAUUUAAUCUUUGGAGUCUCCACUGGUUAGAUUUUUUGAUUCCAUCAUGAUUGUUGAUUUUUGAUUCCAUCUAGAUUGUUGACUAGACUUACUUUCUUGUUGAAGUUGCCUUUCCAAAUGUCUUCCCCAACCCCCAAGCCCCUGCAUGUGAACCUGUGUAAGCAAUAAUUAGUGUCCUUCAUGGGGCCAUGCUCUUUUUGCACUCCUGGGCUAUUGCUACCCUGGAUCUGGAUUCUAAUGGGCACCAAGAUUAAGAUUAUUUGUGUAGUUUGCUUAAAAGUCAAGAACUGCAGGGCACGGAUGGUGGCACAUGCCUGUAAUUCCAGCUACUCUGCAGGUUGAAGCUGGAGGUUUGCAAGUUCAAGGCCAGUCUGGGCAGUUGAGCAAGACCCUGUCUCAAAAUAAAAAAUAGGAGGGGCCAGGAGACAUAGCUCAGGAUUUAAUCCCCUGAACAGUAGAGUAGUUGCAGGUAUUUAACAGAUGUUUCCAUUAGAUAAAGGGAAGCAAAACAAGGGGACAGACAGUCCAGAAGCCUCAUAAAGCGAGCAGAUGUUGGAAUUUUCUUAACAAGUGUUUGCCACAUGGACAAUGGAACAGGCAUUCAGGAAGAGGGAAGAUGGUGAGUAAAGGCAUGACACCUGGGGAAUGGGAGGACUGCUGCUGGAGCCUGGCAGUCAGAAACAAGCCAAAUGAGCCGGCAGAGCCCUG